Molecule: ribosomal RNA, 558 nt
Filed under: Enterococcus faecium
Lineage: Bacteria; Bacillati; Bacillota; Bacilli; Lactobacillales; Enterococcaceae
Description: bacterial SSU rRNA
Rfam family: Bacterial small subunit ribosomal RNA
Source: RNAcentral
UUCCACCGGAGCUUGCUCCACCGGAAAUAGAGGAGUGGCGAACGGGUGAGUAACACGUGGGUAACCUGCCCAUCAGAAGGGGAUAACACUUGGAAACAGGUGCUAAUACCGUAUAACAAUCGAAACCGCAUGGUUUUGAUUUGAAAGGCGCUUUCGGGUGUCGCUGAUGGAUGGACCCGCGGUGCAUUAGCUAGUUGGUGAGGUAACGGCUCACCAANNCGACGAUGCAUAGCCGACCUGAGAGGGUGAUCGGCCACAUUGGGACUGAGACACGGCCCAAACUCCUACGGGAGNCAGCAGUAGGGAAUCUUCGGCAAUGGACGAAAGUCUGACCGAGCAACGCCGCGUGAGUGAAGAAGGUUUUCGGAUCGUAAAACUCUGUUGUUAGAGAAGAACAAGGAUGAGAGUAACUGUUCAUCCCUUGACGGUAUCUAACCAGAAAGCCACGGCUAACUACGUGCCAGCAGCCGCGGUAAUACGUAGGUGGCAAGCGUUGUCCGGAUUUAUUGGGCGUAAAGCGAGCGCAGGCGGUUUCUUAAGUCUGAUGUGAAAGCUCGG